AAAUUGAAGAGUUUGAUCAUGGCUCAGAUUGAACGCUGGCGGCAGGCCUAACACAUGCAAGUCGAACGGUAGCACAGAGAGCUUGCUCUCGGGUGACGAGUGGCGGACGGGUGAGUAAUGUCUGGGAAACUGCCUGAUGGAGGGGGAUAACUACUGGAAACGGUGGCUAAUACCGCAUAACGUCGCAAGACCAAAGAGGGGGACCUUCGGGCCUCUUGCCAUCAGAUGUGCCCAGAUGGGAUUAGCUUGUUGGUGAGGUAACGGCUCACCAAGGCGACGAUCCCUAGCUGGUCUGAGAGGAUGACCAGCCACACUGGAACUGAGACACGGUCCAGACUCCUACGGGAGGCAGCAGUGGGGAAUAUUGCACAAUGGGCGCAAGCCUGAUGCAGCCAUGCCGCGUGUAUGAAGAAGGCCUUCGGGUUGUAAAGUACUUUCAGCGGGGAGGAAGGUGUUGUGGUUAAUAACCACAGCAAUUGACGUUACCCGCAGAAGAAGCACCGGCUAACUCCGUGCCAGCAGCCGCGGUAAUACGGAGGGUGCAAGCGUUAAUCGGAAUUACUGGGCGUAAAGCGCACGCAGGCGGUCUGUCAAGUCGGAUGUGAAAUCCCCGGGCUCAACCUGGGAACUGCAUUCGAAACUGGCAGGCUUGAGUCUUGUAGAGGGGGUAGAAUUCCAGGUGUAGCGGUGAAAUGCGUAGAGAUCUGGAGGAAUACCGGUGGCGAAGGCGGCCCCCUGGACAAAGACUGACGCUCAGGUGCGAAAGCGUGGGGAGCAAACAGGAUUAGAUACCCUGGUAGUCCACGCCGUAAACGAUGUCUACUUGGAGGUUGUGCCCUUGAGGCGUGGCUUCCGGAGCUAACGCGUUAAGUAGACCGCCUGGGGAGUACGGCCGCAAGGUUAAAACUCAAAUGAAUUGACGGGGGCCCGCACAAGCGGUGGAGCAUGUGGUUUAAUUCGAUGCAACGCGAAGAACCUUACCUGGUCUUGACAUCCACAGAAGAAUCCAGAGAUGGAUUUGUGCCUUCGGGAACUGUGAGACAGGUGCUGCAUGGCUGUCGUCAGCUCGUGUUGUGAAAUGUUGGGUUAAGUCCCGCAACGAGCGCAACCCUUAUCCUUUGUUGCCAGCGGUCCGGCCGGGAACUCAAAGGAGACUGCCAGUGAUAAACUGGAGGAAGGUGGGGAUGACGUCAAGUCAUCAUGGCCCUUACGACCAGGGCUACACACGUGCUACAAUGGCGCAUACAAAGAGAAGCGACCUCGCGAGAGCAAGCGGACCUCAUAAAGUGCGUCGUAGUCCGGAUUGGAGUCUGCAACUCGACUCCAUGAAGUCGGAAUCGCUAGUAAUCGUGGAUCAGAAUGCCACGGUGAAUACGUUCCCGGGCCUUGUACACACCGCCCGUCACACCAUGGGAGUGGGUUGCAAAAGAAGUAGGUAGCUUAACCUUCGGGAGGGCGCUUACCACUUUGUGAUUCAUGACUGGGGUGAAGUCGUAACAAGGUAACCGUAGGGGAACCUGCGGUUGGAUCACCUCCUUACCUUAAAGAA
Molecule: ribosomal RNA, 1549 nt
Filed under: Salmonella enterica subsp. enterica serovar Infantis
Lineage: Bacteria; Pseudomonadati; Pseudomonadota; Gammaproteobacteria; Enterobacterales; Enterobacteriaceae
Description: bacterial SSU rRNA
Rfam family: Bacterial small subunit ribosomal RNA
Source: RNAcentral